CACUAUCGUUAACUGAAUACAUAGGUUAACGAGGCGAACCGGGGGAACUGAAACAUCUAAGUACCCCGAGGAAAAGAAAUCAACCGAGAUUCCCCCAGUAGCGGCGAGCGAACGGGGAGCAGCCCAGAGUCUGAAUCAGCUUGUGUGUUAGUGGAACGGUCUGGAAAGUCCGACGGUACAGGGUGAUAGUCCCGUACACCAAAAUGCACAGGUUGUGAACUCGAAGAGUAGGGCGGGACACGUGGUAUCCUGUCUGAAUAUGGGGGGACCAUCCUCCAAGGCUAAAUACUCCUGACUGACCGAUAGUGAACCAGUACCGUGAGGGAAAGGCGAAAAGAACCCCGGCGAGGGGAGUGAAAAAGAACCUGAAACCGUGUACGUACAAGCAGUGGGAGCACCUUCGGGUGUGACUGCGUACCUUUUGUAUAAUGGGUCAGCGACUUAUAUUCUGUAGCAAGGUUAACCGUAUAGGGGAGCCGCAGGGAAACCGAGUCUUAACUGGGCGUUAAGUUGCAGGGUAUAGACCCGAAACCCGGUGAUCUAGCCAUGGGCAGGUUGAAGGUUGGGUAACACUAACUGGAGGACCGAACCGACUAAUGUUGAAAAAUUAGCGGAUGACUUGUGGCUGGGGGUGAAAGGCCAAUCAAACCGGGAGAUAGCUGGUUCUCCCCGAAAGCUAUUUAGGUAGCGCCUCGUGAAUUCAUCUUCGGGGGUAGAGCACUGUUUCGGCUAGGGGGUCAUCCCGACUUACCAACCCGAUGCAAACUACGAAUACCGAAGAAUGUUAUCACGGGAGACACACGGCGGGUGCUAACGUCCGUCGUGAAGAGGGAAACAACCCAGACCGCCAGCUAAGGUCCCAAAGUCAUGGUUAAGUGGGAAACGAUGUGGGAAGGCACAGACAGCCAGGAUGUUGGCUUAGAAGCAGCCAUCAUUUAAAGAAAGCGUAAUAGCUCACUGGUCGAGUCGGCCUGCGCGGAAGAUGUAACGGGGCUAAACCAUGCACCGAAGCUGCGGCAGCGACACUAUGUGUUGUUGGGUAGGGGAGCGUUCUGUAAGCCUGCGAAGGUGACCUGUGAGGCAUGCUGGAGGUAUCAGAAGUGCGAAUGCUGACAUAAGUAACGAUAAAGCGGGUGAAAAGCCCGCUCGCCGGAAGACCAAGGGUUCCUGUCCAACGUUAAUCGGGGCAGGGUGAGUCGACCCCUAAGGCGAGGCCGAAAGGCGUAGUCGAUGGGAAACAGGUUAAUAUUCCUGUACUUGGUGUUACUGCGAAGGGGGGACGGAGAAGGCUAUGUUAGCCGGGCGACGGUUGUCCCGGUUUAAGCAUGUAGGCUGGUUAUCCAGGCAAAUCCGGAUAAUCAAGGCUGAGGUGUGAUGACGAGGCACUACGGUGCUGAAGUAACAAAUGCCCUGCUUCCAGGAAAAGCCUCUAAGCAUCAGGUAACAUCAAAUCGUACCCCAAACCGACACAGGUGGUCAGGUAGAGAAUACCAAGGCGCUUGAGAGAACUCGGGUGAAGGAACUAGGCAAAAUGGUGCCGUAACUUCGGGAGAAGGCACGCUGGUGUGUAGGUGAAGCCCCUGCGGGUGGAGCUGAGACCAGUCGAAGAUACCAGCUGGCUGCAACUGUUUAUUAAAAACACAGCACUGUGCAAACACGAAAGUGGACGUAUACGGUGUGACGCCUGCCCGGUGCCGGAAGGUUAAUUGAUGGGGUUAUCCGUAAGGAGAAGCUCUUGAUCGAAGCCCCGGUAAACGGCGGCCGUAACUAUAACGGUCCUAAGGUAGCGAAAUUCCUUGUCGGGUAAGUUCCGACCUGCACGAAUGGCGUAAUGAUGGCCAGGCUGUCUCCACCCGAGACUCAGUGAAAUUGAACUCGCUGUGAAGAUGCAGUGUACCCGCGGCAAGACGGAAAGACCCCGUGAACCUUUACUAUAGCUUGACACUGAACAUUGAGCCUUGAUGUGUAGGAUAGGUGGGAGGCUUUGAAGCGUGGACGCCAGUCUGCGUGGAGCCAACCUUGAAAUACCACCCUUUAAUGUUUGAUGUUCUAACGUUGGCCCCUUACCGGGGUUGCGGACAGUGUCUGGUGGGUAGUUUGACUGGGGCGGUCUCCUCCCAAAGCGUAACGGAGGAGCACGAAGGUUAGCUAAUCCUGGUCGGACAUCAGGAGGUUAGUGCAAUGGCAUAAGCUAGCUUGACUGCGAGCGUGACGGCGCGAGCAGGUGCGAAAGCAGGUCAUAGUGAUCCGGUGGUUCUGAAUGGAAGGGCCAUCGCUCAACGGAUAAAAGGUACUCCGGGGAUAACAGGCUGAUACCGCCCAAGAGUUCAUAUCGACGGCGGUGUUUGGCACCUCGAUGUCGGCUCAUCACAUCCUGGGGCUGAAGUAGGUCCCAAGGGUAUGGCUGUUCGCCAUUUAAAGUGGUACGCGAGCUGGGUUUAGAACGUCGUGAGACAGUUCGGUCCCUAUCUGCCGUGGGCGCUGGAGAAUUGAGGGGGGCUGCUCCUAGUACGAGAGGACCGGAGUGGACGCAUCACUGGUGUUCGGGUUGUCAUGCCAAUGGCACUGCCCGGUAGCUAAAUGCGGAAGAGAUAAGUGCUGAAAGCAUCUAAGCACGAAACUUGCCCCGAGAUGAGUUCUCCCUGAGACUUUAAGUCUCCUGAAGGAACGUUGAAGACGACGACGUUGAUAGGCCGGGUGUGUAAGCGCAGCGAUGCGUUGAGCUAACCGGUACUAAUGAACCGUGAGGCUUAACCUU
This 2758-nucleotide ribosomal RNA is filed under the name Klebsiella pneumoniae subsp. pneumoniae. Its description in RNAcentral is "bacterial LSU rRNA". It matches the Rfam family "Bacterial large subunit ribosomal RNA". Lineage: Bacteria; Pseudomonadati; Pseudomonadota; Gammaproteobacteria; Enterobacterales; Enterobacteriaceae. The record is from RNAcentral.